ACCAUGCACCGAAGCUGCGGCAGCGACACUGUGUGUUGUUGGGUAGGGGAGCGUUCUGUAAGCCUGUGAAGGUGGCCUGUGAGGGUUGCUGGAGGUAUCAGAAGUGCGAAUGCUGACAUAAGUAACGAUAAAGCGGGUGAAAAGCCCGCUCGCCGGAAGACCAAGGGUUCCUGUCCAACGUUAAUCGGGGCAGGGUGAGUCGACCCCUAAGGCGAGGCCGAAAGGCGUAGUCGAUGGGAAACGGGUUAAUAUUCCCGUACUUGGUGUUACUGCGAAGGGGGGACGGAGAAGGCUAUGUUGGCCGGGCGACGGUUGUCCCGGUUUAAGCGUGUAGGUGUGUGUUCCAGGUAAAUCCGGUUCACUUUAACACUGAGGCGUGAUGACGAGGCACUACGGUGCUGAAGCAACAAAUGCCCUGCUUCCAGGAAAAGCCUCUAAGCAUCAGGUAACAUCAAAUCGUACCCCAAACCGACACAGGUGGUCAGGUAGAGAAUACCAAGGCGCUUGAGAGAACUCGGGUGAAGGAACUAGGCAAAAUGGUGCCGUAACUUCGGGAGAAGGCACGCUGACACGUAGGUGAAGUGAUUUACUCAUGGAGCUGAAGUCAGUCGAAGAUACCAGCUGGCUGCAACUGUUUAUUAAAAACACAGCACUGUGCAAACACGAAAGUGGACGUAUACGGUGUGACGCCUGCCCGGUGCCGGAAGGUUAAUUGAUGGGGUCAGCGCAAGCGAAGCUCCUGAUCGAAGCCCCGGUAAACGGCGGCCGUAACUAUAACGGUCCUAAGGUAGCGAAAUUCCUUGUCGGGUAAGUUCCGACCUGCACGAAUGGCGUAAUGAUGGCCAGGCUGUCUCCACCCGAGACUCAGUGAAAUUGAACUCGCUGUGAAGAUGCAGUGUACCCGCGGCAAGACGGAAAGACCCCGUGAACCUUUACUAUAGCUUGACACUGAACAUUGAGCCUUGAUGUGUAGGAUAGGUGGGAGGCUUUGAAGUGUGGACGCCAGUCUGCAUGGAGCCGACCUUGAAAUACCACCCUUUAAUGUUUGAUGUUCUAACGUGGACCCGUAAUCCGGGUUGCGGACAGUGUCUGGUGGGUAGUUUGACUGGGGCGGUCUCCUCCUAAAGAGUAACGGAGGAGCACGAAGGUUGGCUAAUCCUGGUCGGACAUCAGGAGGUUAGUGCAAUGGCAUAAGCCAGCUUGACUGCGAGCGUGACGGCGCGAGCAGGUGCGAAAGCAGGUCAUAGUGAUCCGGUGGUUCUGAAUGGAAGGGCCAUCGCUCAACGGAUAAAAGGUACUCCGGGGAUAACAGGCUGAUACCGCCCAAGAGUUCAUAUCGACGGCGGUGUUUGGCACCUCGAUGUCGGCUCAUCACAUCCUGGGGCUGAAGUAGGUCCCAAGGGUAUGGCUGUUCGCCAUUUAAAGUGGUACGCGAGCUGGGUUUAGAACGUCGUGAGACAGUUCGGUCCCUAUCUGCCGUGGGCGCUGGAGAACUGAGGGGGGCUGCUCCUAGUACGAGAGGACCGGAGUGGACGCAUCACUGGUGUUCGGGUUGUCAUGCCAAUGGCACUGCCCGGUAGCUAAAUGCGGAAGAGAUAAGUGCUGAAAGCAUCUAAGCACGAAACUUGCCCCGAGAUGAGUUCUCCCUGAGACUUUAGGUCUCCUGAAGGAACGUUGAAGACGACGACGUUGAUAGGCCGGGUGUGUAAGCGCAGCGAUGCGUUGAGCUAACCGGUACUAAUGAACCGUGAGGCUUAACCUUACAACGCCGAAG
RNAcentral lists this ribosomal RNA (1774 nucleotides) under Salmonella enterica subsp. enterica serovar Muenchen. Its description in RNAcentral is "bacterial LSU rRNA". It matches the Rfam family "Bacterial large subunit ribosomal RNA", at positions 1186 to 2925 of the family's 2925-position model. Lineage: Bacteria; Pseudomonadati; Pseudomonadota; Gammaproteobacteria; Enterobacterales; Enterobacteriaceae. The record is from RNAcentral.